CCUACGGGAGGCAGCAGUAGGGAAUAUUGCUCAAUGGGGGAAACCCUGAAGCAGCAACGCCGCGUGGAGGAUGAAGGUUUUCGGAUUGUAAACUCCUUUUGUUAGAGAAGAUAAUGACGGUAUCUAACGAAUAAGCACCGGCUAACUACGUGCCAGCAGCCGCGGUAAGACGGAGGGUGAACGCGUUACUCGGAAUCACUGGGCGUAAAGAGGGCGUAGGCGGGAUAGCAAGUCAGAUGUGAAAUCCUAUGGCUUAACCAUAGAACUGCAUUUGAAACUGUUAUUCUAGAGUAUGGGAGAGGUAGGUGGAAUUCUUGGUGUAGGGGUAAAAUCCGUAGAGAUCAAGAGGAAUACUCAUUGCGAAGGCGACCUGCUAGAACAUAACUGACGCUGAUGCGCGAAAGCGUGGGGAGCAAACAGGAUUAGAUACCCCAGUAGUC
This 440-nucleotide ribosomal RNA is filed under the name uncultured bacterium. Its description in RNAcentral is "partial 16S ribosomal RNA". It matches the Rfam family "Bacterial small subunit ribosomal RNA", at positions 338 to 795 of the family's 1533-position model. The record is from RNAcentral.